This 468-nucleotide ribosomal RNA is filed under the name uncultured bacterium. RNAcentral describes it as "partial 16S ribosomal RNA". It matches the Rfam family "Bacterial small subunit ribosomal RNA", at positions 28 to 507 of the family's 1533-position model. The record is from RNAcentral.
GACGAACGCUGGCGGCGUGCUUAACACAUGCAAGUCGAACGGAAAGGCCCUGCUUUUGUGGGGUGCUCGAGUGGCGAACGGGUGAGUAACACGUGAGUAACCUGCCCUUGACUUUGGGAUAACUUCAGGAAACUGGGGCUAAUACCGGAUAGGAGCUCCUGCUGCAUGGUGGGGGUUGGAAAGUUUCGGCGGUUGGGGAUGGACUCGCGGCUUAUCAGCUUGUUGGUGGGGUAGUGGCCUACCAAGGCUUUGACGGGUAGCCGGCCUGGGAGGGUGACCGGCCACAUUAGGACUGAGAUACGGCCCAGACUCCUACGGGGGGCAGCAGGGGGGAAUAUUGCACAAUGGGCGGAAGCCUGAUGCAGCAACGCCGCGUGCGGGAUGACGGCCUUCGGGUUGUAAACCGCUUUCGCCUGUGACGAAGCGUGAGUGACGGUAAUGGGUAAAGAAGCACCGGCUAACUACGUG